AUAAAACAUGAAAUAAAGUAAAACAAUCACAGAAUAAUGUUACGAUUUUCGGUACAAGCUAUACUGAGCUGAUUAUUAUAAGGGAAAGUGUUGUCUGUCGUAUUCACUUGGAUACGGUUGAACCAUGUAAACAAUACUCUUUGUGUGUAAAAUUUGGGAUAUUUUCUGUGUUUGAAGAGUUCUCGCUGUGCGCUGGUCGGCCAUCUUGAAAAAUAAAUUGUGAAGGUCGUAUUUCCAGCUUUCCUGCGAGACGGCAGUUCAGAUGCAGUCGUCCUGUGUGUCAGAAAGCUGGUGAUCAAAAUGGUUGAAGGCAGUACCCAAGAAAGUACAUUUACAAAGUUGUGAGGAGUAACCUAGCCUAUAUAACCUGAAGCUCACCCAAUAUGCAGUGUGUUCUGCUU
This is a long non-coding RNA of Mya arenaria, 401 nucleotides long. RefSeq lists it as uncharacterized. The record is from RefSeq and is a predicted model, not a curated record. The transcript has 4 exons. NCBI's taxonomy places the organism in Eukaryota, Metazoa, Mollusca, Bivalvia, Myida, Myidae.